Molecule: ribosomal RNA, 460 nt
Filed under: uncultured bacterium
Lineage: Bacteria
Description: partial 16S ribosomal RNA
Rfam family: Bacterial small subunit ribosomal RNA
Source: RNAcentral
CCUACGGGAGGCAGCAGUGAGGAAUAUUGGUCAAUGGCCGGAAGGCUGAACCAGCCAUGCCGCGUGAAGGAUGAAGGAUCUAUGGUUUGUAAACUUCUUUUAUAUGGGAAUAAAGUGAGGAACGUGUUCCUUUUUGUAUGUACCAUAUGAAUAAGCAUCGGCUAACUCCGUGCCAGCAGCCGCGGUAAUACGGAGGAUGCGAGCGUUAUCCGGAUUUAUUGGGUUUAAAGGGUUCGUAGGGGGUUAAUUAAGUCAGCGGUGAAAGGUUGUGGCUCAACCAUAAGAUUGCCGUUGAAACUGGUUGACUUGAGUAUAUGUGAGGUAGGCGGAAUGCGUGGUGUAGCGGUGAAAUGCAUAGAUAUCACGCAGAACUCCGAUUGCGAAGGCAGCUUACUAGCCUAUAACUGACACUGAGGCACGAAAGCGUGGGGAUCAAACAGGAUUAGAUACCCGAGUAGUC